Molecule: ribosomal RNA, 1498 nt
Filed under: uncultured bacterium
Lineage: Bacteria
Description: bacterial SSU rRNA
Rfam family: Bacterial small subunit ribosomal RNA
Source: RNAcentral
AGAGUUUGAUCCUGGCUCAGAUUGAACGCUAGCGGGAUGCUUUACACAUGCAAGUCGAACGGCAGCACGAGAGAGCUUGCUCUCUUGGUGGCGAGUGGCGGACGGGUGAGUAAUAUAUCGGAACGUGCCCAGUAGCGGGGGAUAACUACUCGAAAGAGUGGCUAAUACCGCAUACGCCCUACGGGGGAAAGGGGGGGAUCGCAAGACCUCUCACUAUUGGAGCGGCCGAUAUCGGAUUAGCUAGUUGGUGGGGUAAAGGCUCACCAAGGCAACGAUCCGUAGCUGGUUUGAGAGGACGACCAGCCACACUGGGACUGAGACACGGCCCAGACUCCUACGGGAGGCAGCAGUGGGGAAUUUUGGACAAUGGGGGAAACCCUGAUCCAGCCAUCCCGCGUGUAUGAUGAAGGCCUUCGGGUUGUAAAGUACUUUUGGCAGAGAAGAAAAGGCAUCCCCUAAUACGGGAUGCUGCUGACGGUAUCUGCAGAAUAAGCACCGGCUAACUACGUGCCAGCAGCCGCGGUAAUACGUAGGGUGCAAGCGUUAAUCGGAAUUACUGGGCGUAAAGCGUGUGUAGGCGGUUCGGAAAGAAAGAUGUGAAAUCCCAGGGCUCAACCUUGGAACUGCAUUUUUAACUGCCGAGCUAGAGUAUGUCAGAGGGGGGUAGAAUUCCACGUGUAGCAGUGAAAUGCGUAGAUAUGUGGAGGAAUACCGAUGGCGAAGGCAGCCCCCUGGGAUAAUACUGACGCUCAGACACGAAAGCGUGGGGAGCAAACAGGAUUAGAUACCCUGGUAGUCCACGCCCUAAACGAUGUCAACUAGCUGUUGGGGCCGUUAGGCCUUAGUAGCGCAGCUAACGCGUGAAGUUGACCGCCUGGGGAGUACGGUCGCAAGAUUAAAACUCAAAGGAAUUGACGGGGACCCGCACAAGCGGUGGAUGAUGUGGAUUAAUUCGAUGCAACGCGAAAAACCUUACCUACCCUUGACAUGUCUGGAAAGCCGAAGAGAUUUGGCCGUGCUCGCAAGAGAACCGGAACACAGGUGCUGCAUGGCUGUCGUCAGCUCGUGUCGUGAGAUGUUGGGUUAAGUCCCGCAACGAGCGCAACCCUUGUCAUUAGUUGCUACGCAAGAGCACUCUAAUGAGACUGCCGGUGACAAACCGGAGGAAGGUGGGGAUGACGUCAAGUCCUCAUGGCCCUUAUGGGUAGGGCUUCACACGUCAUACAAUGGUCGGGACAGAGGGUCGCCAACCCGCGAGGGGGAGCCAAUCUCAGAAACCCGAUCGUAGUCCGGAUCGCAGUCUGCAACUCGACUGCGUGAAGUCGGAAUCGCUAGUAAUCGCGGAUCAGAAUGUCGCGGUGAAUACGUUCCCGGGUCUUGUACACACCGCCCGUCACACCAUGGGAGUGGGUUUCACCAGAAGUAGGUAGCCUAACCGCAAGGAGGGCGCUUACCACGGUGGGAUUCAUGACUGGGGUGAAGUCGUAACAAGGUAACC